Molecule: ribosomal RNA, 375 nt
Filed under: uncultured bacterium
Lineage: Bacteria
Description: bacterial SSU rRNA
Rfam family: Bacterial small subunit ribosomal RNA
Source: RNAcentral
UACGUAGGGAGCGAGCGUUGUCCGGAAUUACUGGGUGUAAAGGGUGCGUAGGCGGGAUUGCAAGUCAGGCGUGAAAUACCGGGGCUUAACCUCGGGGCUGCGCUUGAAACUGUAGUUCUUGAGUGAAGUAGAGGCAGGCGGAAUUCCUAGUGUAGCGGUGAAAUGCGUAGAUAUUAGGAGGAACACCAGUGGCGAAGGCGGCCUGCUGGGCUUUAACUGACGCUGAGGCACGAAAGCAUGGGGAGCAAACAGGAUUAGAUACCCUGGUAGUCCAUGCCGUAAACGAUGAUAGCUAGGUGUGGGGGGACUGACCCCUUCCGUGCCGGAGUAAACACAAUAAGCUAUCCACCUGGGGAGUACGACCGCAAGGUUGAA